CACGUGUUGGUUUGGUGCGUGUGACAAAAAAAUGGUUCAUGGCGGUGGGUUUUGGGUUUGGCUUGGGAUACAAUCCUAAACAAGAAUAGGGACAGAAUUUUAUCCAAGAUUUCAAGAUAAGCAGGAAACCCAUGAACCAAAUGCUCCUUAGGAUGGAUAUGGAUGCUCAACAAGAAUAACCACAUGGUGAAAGGCAAGCAGUAAAAUAAAUUCAUGGCAGCAAAAGUUUCGUGCAUAUCUCAUCAUAACCAUUUGUCGAUUUCUUGUUAAGUAGCAGUCACACUUGGUCGUUUGCAAUGGAGCUUCCAAACAACAGGGUAAGGGAUAAAAUUAAAAUUCAAAGUUAAACACUAAAACCGAACGCUUUAACAGUAAUUCAUUAUAAUAUAAGAUCAGGAAUUUUAAGCGUUUCAAAUGUGGUGGGCUGUCAUCUGGAGCUGGAUCAAGUGGUCAAACCUAAUGGAGUAGGUGGGAGGAGACAGAGAGAAUCCUCUGCUUUCUGGGGCAGUGAGAAGGCUGAGACAAUAGUCUUUUUGACAAGAAAAGACCAAAGAGUAUUAAAAAAAAUAAAUAAAUAAAAAAGCGUGGUCAACGUCCAUCCUAUCGUUGCUGACAUAGAAUAGCCAUAUGACAUUUUCAAAGGUUAUUAAAAAUAGCUCUGGUCCACCAAGCUACGUCUUUCAUUUUCUCAAAAUUCAAAUUGCAUUUGCAUUUUGCCAUUUACCUAAUUUUCAGAGUGAAAAGGACUUGUUGUAAUGUUCAAAACAAGGGAAAAGUAAAAGUCAAAUCAUUUUGCAAUACCAAGUUUCUAUCACAUCAAAUUCCAACGCAUAUAACUUCCAAAAAAGAGCCAAAAAAAAACAAAAAAAAAAAAAAAACAAA
Molecule: long non-coding RNA, 882 nt
Organism: Ziziphus jujuba (common jujube)
Lineage: Eukaryota; Viridiplantae; Streptophyta; Magnoliopsida; Rosales; Rhamnaceae
Exons: 2
Source: RefSeq, a predicted model, not a curated record